UACGAGGGGGGCGAGCGUUGUUCGGAAUUAUUGGGCGUAAAGGGUGCGUAGGCGGUUCCGCAAGUCCUGUGUGAAAUCUUCGGGCUCAACUCGAAGUCUGCACGGGAAACUGCGGGGCUUGAGUGUGGGAGAGGUGAGUGGAAUUCCCGGUGUAGCGGUGAAAUGCGUAGAUAUCGGAAGGAACACCGGUGGCGAAAGCGGCUUCCUGGUCCAGCACCGACGUUCAGGCACGAAAGCGUGGGGAGCAAACAGG
RNAcentral lists this ribosomal RNA (253 nucleotides) under uncultured bacterium. RNAcentral's name for it is "partial 16S ribosomal RNA". It matches the Rfam family "Bacterial small subunit ribosomal RNA", at positions 524 to 776 of the family's 1533-position model. The record is from RNAcentral.